AAAAGCACUAUCUCCUCUGUACAUAUAAAUAUCAUGACCGGAGAUUAAGUGGCGUUCGCAGAGGGAGCAAGCUCUAAGAAAAUGAGAAGAUUCAAUAAAAUCAGCUGAUUUUCUACGAGUCAAUAAAACGGUUUGAUCUUGACCGUUGGAUCGUGGUGUAUGAUGAUCAAGUUGAUAAUUAAGGGUAGGAUCUAAGGUGAAUUCUGUCAUACUUGUUGUU
This 220-nucleotide unclassified non-coding RNA is filed under the name Hevea brasiliensis (rubber tree). Lineage: Eukaryota; Viridiplantae; Streptophyta; Magnoliopsida; Malpighiales; Euphorbiaceae. The record is from RNAcentral.